This 460-nucleotide ribosomal RNA is filed under the name uncultured bacterium. RNAcentral describes it as "partial 16S ribosomal RNA". It matches the Rfam family "Bacterial small subunit ribosomal RNA", at positions 338 to 795 of the family's 1533-position model. The record is from RNAcentral.
CCUACGGGUGGCAGCAGUGAGGAAUAUUGGUCAAUGGACGAGAGUCUGAACCAGCCAAGUAGCGUGAAGGAUGACUGCCCUAUGGGUUGUAAACUUCUUUUAUAUGGGAAUAAAAUGUUCCACGUGUGGGAUUUUGUAUGUACCAUAUGAAUAAGGAUCGGCUAACUCCUUGCCAGCAGCCGCGGUAAUACGGAGGAUCCGAGCGUUAUCCGGAUUUAUUGGGUUUAAAGGGAGCGUAGGUGGAUUGUUAAGUCAGUUGUGAAAGUUUGCGGCUCAACCGUAAAAUUGCAGUUGAAACUGGCAGUCUUGAGUACAGUAGAGGUGGGCGGAAUUCGUGGUGUAGCGGUGAAAUGCUUAGAUAUCACGAAGAACUCCGAUUGCGAAGGCAGCUCACUGGACUGCAACUGACACUGAGGUUCGAAAGCGUGGGUAGCAAACAGGAUUAGAUACCCCUGUAGUC